CCUUACGCAAGGGAUCGUUUGGUUCUAUGUACGAUGAAGGUCGGAGCUGUAUUCGAUAAAAUGAGAUGAUUGUAUAAAUUGUCUUAUAUUACUGAAUAGAGUAGCGAUGCUCGAAUACUCCUUGAA
Molecule: ribosomal RNA, 126 nt
Filed under: Dictyocoela duebenum (nom. nud.)
Lineage: Eukaryota; Fungi; Microsporidia
Description: Dictyocoela duebenum partial 23S large subunit ribosomal RNA
Source: RNAcentral